ACACAUGCAAGUCGAGGGGAAACGACAUCGAAAGCUUGCUUUUGAUGGGCGUCGACCGGCGCACGGGUGAGUAACGCGUAUCCAACCUGCCCACCACUUGGGGAUAACCUUGCGAAAGUAAGACUAAUACCCAAUGACGUCUCUAGAAGACAUCUGAAGGAGAUUAAAGAUUUAUCGGUGAUGGAUGGGGAUGCGUCUGAUUAGCUUGUUGGCGGGGUAACGGCCCACCAAGGCGACGAUCAGUAGGGGUUCUGAGAGGAAGGUCCCCCACAUUGGAACUGAGACACGGUCCAAACUCCUACGGGAGGCAGCAGUGAGGAAUAUUGGUCAAUGGACGAGAGUCUGAACCAGCCAAGUAGCGUGCAGGAUGACGGCCCUAUGGGUUGUAAACUGCUUUUAUAAGGGAAUAAAGUGAGUCUCGUGAGACUUUUUGCAUGUACCUUAUGAAUAAGGACCGGCUAAUUCCGUGCCAGCAGCCGCGGUAAUACGGAAGGUCCGGGCGUUAUCCGGAUUUAUUGGGUUUAAAGGGAGCGUAGGCCGGAGAUUAAGCGUGUUGUGAAAUGUAGACGCUCAACGUCUGCACUGCAGCGCGAACUGGUUUCCUUGAGUACGCACAAAGUGGGCGGAAUUCGUGGUGUAGCGGUGAAAUGCUUAGAUAUCACGAAGAACUCCGAUUGCGAAGGCAGCUCACUGGAGCGCAACUGACGCUGAAGCUCGAAAGUGCGGGUAUCGAACAGGAUUAGAUACCCUGGUAGUCCGCACGGUAAACGAUGGAUGCCCGCUGUUGGUCUGAAUAGGUCAGCGGCCAAGCGAAAGCAUUAAGCAUCCCACCUGGGGAGUACGCC
This 845-nucleotide ribosomal RNA is filed under the name uncultured bacterium. RNAcentral describes it as "bacterial SSU rRNA". It matches the Rfam family "Bacterial small subunit ribosomal RNA", at positions 51 to 886 of the family's 1533-position model. The record is from RNAcentral.